CAGUAGCCGCGGUAAUACAGAGGGUGCGAGCGUUAAUCGGAUUUACUGGGCGUAAAGCGUGCGUAGGCGGCUUCUUAAGUCGGAUGUGAAAUCCCUGAGCUUAACUUAGGAAUUGCAUUCGAUACUGGGAAGCUAGAGUAUGGGAGAGGAUGGUAGAAUUCCAGGUGUAGCGGUGAAAUGCGUAGAGAUCUGGAGGAAUACCGAUGGCGAAGGCAGCCAUCUGGCCUAAUACUGACGCUGAGGUACGAAAGCAUGGGGAGCAAACAGGAUUAGAGACCCGAGUAGUCCCUGUCUCUUAUAC
Molecule: ribosomal RNA, 301 nt
Filed under: uncultured bacterium
Lineage: Bacteria
Description: partial 16S ribosomal RNA
Rfam family: Bacterial small subunit ribosomal RNA
Source: RNAcentral